UCCUGCAGCUCCUUAGGCUAAGAACUCACUUUAAUUUCUGAAUUCUCCCUUUUUAAAGACCAGAUAAAUUUACCUCUGGGACAGUUAGAUGUGCACAAAUGUACCAUAUGUUUAAAGAUCACCAAAGAGGAGAGAAAAGGGGAUUCCUUAGUCCAGAGAACAAAAACUGCAGGAGGCUGGAGCUGAGACGUGGGCAUCCCUGCAGCUGGGGCCUAUGCUCCCAGGCACUCCUGGCAUCUCUGGCUGGUUCACUUCUCCCUGGUUCAGACAGAUCAGGAGUGGAAACACCUGAAUGUGUUCAAGGACGAGAUGACAAUCAAGGACUGGCUCGAUGGCUGUGGACUGAGUUAUAUUUCUUUUCAAGGUGAGAGGAAGCCUACUCAAUAUGAAGAUGAGGAUGAAGACCUUGAUGAUGAUCCACCUUCCCUUAAUGAAGAGUAAAAUACAUGUUCUCUU
This is a long non-coding RNA of Rhinopithecus roxellana (golden snub-nosed monkey), 456 nucleotides long. RefSeq lists it as uncharacterized. NCBI's taxonomy places the organism in Eukaryota, Metazoa, Chordata, Mammalia, Primates, Cercopithecidae. The transcript has 4 exons. The record is from RefSeq and is a predicted model, not a curated record.